UAGAUAAAUGAAUAAAUAACUACACAAGUAACCGAAUAUAUAACUAAAUAAGCCCUCGCGUAAACAACUCAUUCCAUCAUGAACAUAGACAAGUUGCGAAAAGAGUUUUUUAACGAUGAACCAAAUAACAGUACCCAUAUUAAUCAAAAAAAUAAUAAUUUUAAAAAUUUAUUAACAGAUGAUAGUAAUACUACUGGUUGGAAACGCAAAAACAAUAUUAACAUUGGUACUAGUACUACUACUAAUACCACUACUACUAACAUGUGGAAUAGUAAUAACUAUGGGUAUGAUGGCAGUAUUAAUAUAAAUUUAAAACCAAAAUGGUAUAACAACUCUUGUGACUAUAAAAAUAAGAACAACUGUAAAAAUAACAGCACUAAAAAUAAGAAAAAUAAAAAUAUGUAUUUAGUUAAUAGUUUAAAUAAUUUAAAUAACUUAAAUUCGAAAAAUAUAAAAUUUCCAUUAAACAACCCGAGAAUAAGGGAAAAUCCCAAUACUAUUAAACGACUGAAAAAUAUUUAUAAAUUUAAUAAUACAUAUAAUAAUAUAAUAAAUUUUGUUAAAGCUAAUAAAAAUGAUAUGGAAAAAAUUCGAUAUACAUUAUUUUUAAAAGCAUAUGAAAAUUCAGAAUUAUUACAAUUAAAAAAACAAAACAAAAAAGAUAAAUUAACAUUAAAAAAAAACAAUGAAUAUAUUGAUAUAAAAGAUGCUAGAGAAAAACAAAGAUCAAAGUUAUUAAAAGUAUUAAAAUCUUAUAAUAUAAAACAUGAUGUAUCUACUAAUUUAAUCAAUUAUUGUGACUAUUCUAUUUAUUAUCAGGACAAAAGUGUAUUGGAUGAUUUAGCGAAAAAACAAAACUGUAAUAAUUUUUUUUAUUAUCUUGUUAGUAAGGGGUUUUCAUAUAAUGAAAUAUUAAGAUUGUCAAGUGUAUUUGAAAAUAUAGCAUUUUUAAAACAUUGUAAUUUAUGUAUGUUACCUUGGAUUUAUAAAAAAAUAAAUGAAUUUCAUAAUUUUGACUUUUAUACUUUCUUAUUCUAUACACUAGCAUAUUCUGUUUCUACUCUUACCUCUUCUUUUUAUUUAUUUAUUAAGUAUAAAACUAUAGCUAUUAUUAUACCAUUAUUUAUCACUUAUGUUUUAUUAGCCUUUCCUCUUUUAUUACAAGAGCUUAAUUGUGGUAGGUUCUUUUUAGAUGGUUGCAUUUCUUAUUUUUAUUCAAUUUGUAAUUUUAAUUUACCAAUCGCGGUAGCACUAAUUUUACAAUAUUUAUUUUUAAUUAUAAAAUCAAUAGAUACAAUUAAUUUAAACUUUUCUUAUUUUUUUUAUUAUUUUAUGGAUCAAACCCCACUAGUAUAUAAAAAUAUAGACAAAAGAAUUUGCUCCCAAUUUAAUAGAAGCCCACAAAUAUGUGACUUUUCUCGAAACAUAUGUUAUUACAACGAGCAAACUCAAAAUUGCGAG
This 1461-nucleotide long non-coding RNA is filed under the name Piliocolobus tephrosceles (Ugandan red Colobus). Its description in RNAcentral is "lncRNA (ENSPTEG00000008380.1)". The record is from RNAcentral. Lineage: Eukaryota; Metazoa; Chordata; Mammalia; Primates; Cercopithecidae.